RNAcentral lists this ribosomal RNA (329 nucleotides) under uncultured Glomeromycotina. RNAcentral's name for it is "eukaryotic LSU rRNA". Lineage: Eukaryota; Fungi; Glomeromycota. The record is from RNAcentral.
CAGUCGUACCGGCGGGUAAUCAGCCUUUUGGGUGUGAUUAUGUGGAGCGUGAGGAGUUAAUCACCCUCAUCUUUGCAUAUUCGUGCACUUUGGGUGUACUUGCUCGUGUGGUAGGUUAACAUCAAUUUUGAUCGUCAUAAAAUGAUUGGAGGAAUGUAGCUUCGAUCUCGUAUUGAAGUGUUAUAGCCUUCGGUAGAUGUGAUGAUUGGGAUUGAGGAUUGCAACGGAUACCCUUCGGGGCUACCUGUCUGAUCUCUGAAAGUUGCUCUGGUGCUGAAAGCUUGCUUAUGGUAUCAAAGUUGACGUUCAACAGGUUAGAACGGGAUAAA